RNAcentral lists this long non-coding RNA (245 nucleotides) under Elaeis guineensis (African oil palm). RNAcentral's name for it is "long non-coding RNA (EGUI_LNC027450)". The record is from RNAcentral. Lineage: Eukaryota; Viridiplantae; Streptophyta; Magnoliopsida; Arecales; Arecaceae.
AUGCCGCUACUUCGAUUCUCACCAAAGCUCGACAGGUGUCAAGGGCGAUUCAAGGAAGAGUGGAUGUGGUGGUUUGUGGGCUUGGUUCUGCUAGUGUGCACGAGAUGGGCCAUGUCAAUUUAGGAUGAGAGAUGGGUCGAAGCAAAAAGAAAAGCUUGCUGGGCCAAGCAGUCAAGAGCCAAAUAAUCAUGAGGGGGCCGAGUCUCGGCUUAAGGUGGUCCUAAAAGCCAUGAAGGCUGGUACAA